RNAcentral lists this long non-coding RNA (2172 nucleotides) under Lupinus mutabilis. RNAcentral describes it as "partial ncRNA". The record is from RNAcentral. Lineage: Eukaryota; Viridiplantae; Streptophyta; Magnoliopsida; Fabales; Fabaceae.
AUUUAGUGACCUAGAAUAAUAGAGUUCUAUGAAUGAUUUAUGUUGUUACAUGCUCGAUUUAGUGACGCGGGGGAUAAAGGAUUUUGUAUUUUAUGUACAAAUGGUUUGGGCUUGUAUGGAGUAUCCCUACCAAGGGUGUGUUUGUGAGUUAAAUUUUGGAGGGGAAGGAAGGGAAAUUGGAGGCAUGGGUGCCAUGAAAUAUACUUGUAAGAUGACUUUUAAGUCUCCUCUUUGUCUUCCUUACCCUCUAAAAUUCAACGCCCAAACGGACCCUAAGAAUAGUAGCCCGAUAGUUAAAGGGAGAUGGAAACCAAGAGAAGCUAUCAAGUAUUUUGAUGUAAACGGUUUGUAUUUGUCACAGACAUGAUUUAUGAUAAAACGUUACGACAUCAGUUUAGUUUUUUAGCUGACCCCACCUUGUGGGGAAAGACUUGCUUCAGUGUCGUUGUCUACAUGAAUGCUAUGUUAAUGGAUCAGACCUUUUGCCAAAAGUGCACUGGAUUAUACCAAUUUACUUCAUUAUGAGAAUAUCUAGUGCUACCUGAAAAAUGAAUUUCAAAUGAAUGUGCAGUGUGUCUUUAGAUAAUUUUAUUUGUUGCUGUGAAGAACUGCCAUCAAGUCAGAAUAAGCCAAUAAGGCCCAUUAAAACGUAAAAGUUGCUGUAUAUGUAAUUUGCAGAAAAGGGGAAAUUUUGCGGCUACGAAAUGUUGGGUGCCCAUUUUUCUUCUGACCCAUGCCAAUUUUGAGUAAAUAUGUUGGCUUCAGAUGAACAAAUAUUUUUUCUAUCCAAAGUUCCAAAAAUUUCGGUGUAUUUUUCAAUUGCAAACCCUUGCUCCCACAGUGAAAUGAAACAAUGCAUAUUCUUUCCCCCUUUGUAGGGCAAGAGAAGACUAGAUGAAGCUCAAGCAUCAGAGAUGGUGUCACUUGGAUUUGUUUCAAUUUUUUUGGUUUUGAAGUAUUGAGAACUUCUCUUCUGUAGAUUAGGUUGGAGGACAGGAGUUGAAGUUUAAUGCAAAAUAAAGUGUUGCCCCUAUCUCUCAAAACUUAACAAGGUGCCCUUACCGGAUCAUAUGAAUUUGUCUUUAGAAUCUUCAUUCCCCUUUCCUCUCAGGAAAGAGCUAUACUGGUUUGUCCUAUGAAAUUGCUGCUCUAGUUCAAACAAUGAUUUUGAAUUGGGUUAUUUAAUUUGAAAAGUGUGUGCUGGUGUUUGUACGUUUUGAUAAUUUUGUGCUAAUAUGAACUCACGUGAUUCUGAGUAGUCGUGCAACGUGACUUAACUGAACCUUUAUAUUAAUCGAUUUAUCUUAAAGAUAAUCAUAUGAAAAUCAAACUGAUUGAUUAUAUUCAUUCAGAUUGCAAUGAUGAUGUAUGAUGCAUACAGAGGAAUCAAGCAAAGUUGUGUGUAGAUGAACUCUAAAAGGUGUUCAAGUGAAGCUUAUUCUUUUGUUUUUGUAGGAUUUGAAAUUGUUACUUCACGUUUAUGAUGGUUAAACAAGAGUUUUCUGGGAGUUUUAGAUUUAUGAAAAAAAAUCUAGCAAUAAAAGUUUCUACUUUAUAAUUGUGCAUAUAGAUUUUUGGAUACUGUUGUUAGAUUGUGUGUAUACUGUAUGCACACAAUUCUGUAUGUCAGUUCUAUGCAUCUCAUGCUUUGGAGUGCAAAUUUCGUUAGAUGAUAGGAUAGAUGCCGAGUACAAAUUUUGUAGUUCUGUAACUGUUUUCUGUAUUCUGACAAUGUAGCUAUCUAUAUAGAAUGAGAUCUAUUUCACUGAGAUGUGGUUAGUAAAUCUUGGGCGCUACAGAUGCCAUAAUUGUAGCCUCACAAGUGUGUGUUUUGGCUGAGGUGCCCAAAGUAAGAUAUGGAAUUCCGUAAUUGGUUGUGUUUGCAAAGUGUAAACUAAACAAAUUGUUCAAAGGCAAAGCCAUUUUAUUUUCCUGGUUCCCAUUUCCCUAUUUUGACAGAACUUUUGUGUGCAAAAUUCCAUUUUGACCUGGCUGUUUCUUUGUUUAGGGUCGUGAUCAUUUGCUAUUUGGCUUAAUGCUUGCGGACUUGAGCCUCUUCAUUUAAACUUGCUUUGCCUUCCCUUGCUAGUUUUACAUGUCAGUUUGUAUAAUAUAUAAUUUAGUUAUGUUUAUAUAUCAUUAUGAUUAUUAUCUCGGCCUUUUCGAUUGGGU